UGAGGUGAGGACUGUGGACAACAUGUUAUU
RNAcentral lists this non-coding RNA (30 nucleotides) under Rattus norvegicus (Norway rat). The record is from RNAcentral. Lineage: Eukaryota; Metazoa; Chordata; Mammalia; Rodentia; Muridae.